AGAUAUUUAUGUUGUUUUUGAGCUUAUGGAGUCUGAUCUUCACCAUGUUAUUAAGGCUAAUGAUGACUUGUCACAUGAACACCAUCGCUUUUUUCUAUAUCAGAUGCUACGAGCACUGAAAUAUAUGCACACAGCGAAUGUGUACCAUCGAGAUCUUAAGCCGAAAAAUAUAUUGGCAAAUGCAAACUGUAAACUCAAAAUAUGUGACUUAGGAUUGGCAAGGGUUUCAUUCAGUGAUACUCCAACCACAGCACUUUGGACGGAUUAUGUUGCUACAAGGUGGUACAGGGCUCCUGAACUAUGUGGAUCUUUCUUUUCCAAGGUAGUUCAUGCUAACAAUGUGCCACUUGCUCUGUCUUUUAUUUAAUAAUUUCUUAGCAGGAAUGGUAGUUUUUCGUGUAAUAACAAUGCACUCUUACGUCCCUUCGAAUACAUUCAUCCCGGGGGUUUGGACAAGGAGAAGGGUAUAGAGAGAAGCACCACCAAAGAUGGUGCACAUAAUUAGUUGAAAUGGAAAGUUUACAUGAACAGUUUUGUGUUCGAUUCGUUUGUCCCUCUUAGGAUUGCAGGUUUGGAGAUUCUGUAGUCAAUCAUUUUAUGCACUAGGCCAGGGAUUGAGCAUAAGUUUUAGUUAGUUUUGAUGCCAUUGAAGUAUCAUGUAUCGGUUCUUAUUUUCCAAUGGCUUUAGGAAGGCAAAAAGGUACUUGUCCCACUCUUCUUGCAGCGUCUGAUGUGCUGAUGCUACUGUUAGAAACUGUGGUAUUUUGGUUAGAAUACCAAUUUUAUAUAAGUCAAUACAUUAUAAGUGUAUUUGAGUGAUGUGUAGAUUACAACCGUUCUUGUUCAGGGAGGACAAUUGAACUCUCCUGGAAGUUGAAUUAUCUAUUCUUCAGGUAACUGUGUCAGGUCCUGCGUUAAUUUUUCUGCGGGGUCUUACUG
Molecule: unclassified non-coding RNA, 939 nt
Filed under: Hevea brasiliensis (rubber tree)
Lineage: Eukaryota; Viridiplantae; Streptophyta; Magnoliopsida; Malpighiales; Euphorbiaceae
Source: RNAcentral